AGAACGAACGCUGGCGGCGUGCCUAACACAUGCAAGUCCAACGUGAAAGGGGAGCAAUCCCCCGGUAGGGUGGCAAACGGGUGAGUAAGACAUGGGUGAUCUACCCUGGAGAUGGGGAUAUCCCUCCGAAAGGGGGGCAAUACCGAAUAGGAUCCGGUCCCGUGAAGGGGACCGGGGAAACGGAGGCCUCUGGAACAAGCUUCCGCUCCUGGAUGAGCCCAUGGCCCAUCAGCUAGUUGGUAGGGUAAAGGCCUACCAAGGCGACGACGGGUAGCUGGUCUGAGAGGACAACCAGCCACACUGGCACUGAGACACGGGCCAGACUCCUACGGGCGGCAGC
This 340-nucleotide ribosomal RNA is filed under the name uncultured prokaryote. RNAcentral's name for it is "bacterial SSU rRNA". It matches the Rfam family "Bacterial small subunit ribosomal RNA", at positions 26 to 352 of the family's 1533-position model. The record is from RNAcentral.